Molecule: ribosomal RNA, 399 nt
Filed under: uncultured bacterium
Lineage: Bacteria
Description: partial 16S ribosomal RNA
Rfam family: Bacterial small subunit ribosomal RNA
Source: RNAcentral
CCUACGGGCGGCAGCAGUGAGGAAUAUUGGUCAAUGGGCGCGAGCCUGAACCAGCCAAGUAGCGUGAAGGAUGACUGCCCUACGGGUUGUAAACUUCUUUUAUACAGGAAUAAAGUGAGGCACGUGUGCCUUUUUGCAUGUACUUUAUGAAUAAGGAUCGGCUAACUCCGUGCCAGCAGCCGCGGUAAUACGGAGGAUCCGAGCGUUAUCCGGAUGUAUUGGGUUUCAAGGGGGCGUAGACGGGUUGUUAAGUCAGUUGUGAAAGUAUGGGGCUCAACCGUAGAAGUGCAGUUGAUACUGGCAGCCUUGAGUUCAGUUGAGGUAGGCGGAAUGCGUGGUGUAGCGGUGAAAUGCUUAGAUAUCACGAAGAACUCCGAUUGCGAAGGCAGCCUACUAAAC